UUGUUCUAUUUAGGGUUGUCCACGUGGACGUCUUCCAUGUAGUGACAGUAAUGUUAGCUGAAUGCUGUCAUCAGUUAACCUUUUUUUCAGGUAACAUUUGUGUUUAUGUACUUUUCUGAACAGAAAUCAAACUGUUCCAUGAGAAAAGGCUAGGAAUAGCCCUGGGUUUCAGGUGGCGAAUCGUGAUUCCCUGCGUGUAAUCUUCGAGCGUGAAAUGUCUGCUGCAAACAUAGCCAUGUCUGAUUUAGAGCCUAUAAUGUUUUGUUUUUAGUUUUAUUUUGAAACAAGUUGAAGUUCCGUUGGGCUGCUCUCAUGUAACUCACUAUAGCUUUGCCACAGUAGCUACCAAGGACUCAGCACUGAUAGAAGUUACAAACUUUUAAUUCCUUCUUAAGUUGCAUGCAGCCAACGAGUUUUCACGGUGGAUUUGGAGGACAAGCCUCGAAUAAACCUGUUACAAGAGAGCCACUUGUGUCUGCCUGUGCUUGGAGGGAAUUACAUGUACUGCCCUUUUUAAUCACAAACUUUGGUCCCUUAUCCCACCAGAUCGCCUGAAUCUAUUUCCGCCCAACCUCACUGUCCACAGGAAAAUAAAAAAAAAACAGAUACGGCUGCUUUUGGGCACAACAAGAGCAACCUGGAACACUAAAAAAAAACUCUUGUUCUUUGCUCGCGCUACAGCUGCCCUGAUAGGUGAGGAAGUAGAAUUCCGCAACAAUUGCGUGGUUACAUUUUCACAGUUUCAAUACACAAACUCACAAAUGCAUGCUUCAUUCAAGUGCUGUUGGAAAACUGGGACUCGUGGGCUUUUGAUAAGUUGGGCAUUGAAACGUGUCAAGAUAUUUUCUAAAGAGACUCCUAGAUAGAAUAGUAUCAUCCCUAGAAUGAAACACAUACAUUUUACAAACAGAUUGUAUACACUGGCCUAGAAAAGUGAAUAUGUGACACCUUUUAAGAUGGAUUCUAAUGUGCUACGUGUGAACUGAUACACUAGUUGUACCCUCUUAGAAACACAUGUUGACGCCACAUAUACACAGGACCUCGUGUGAUGCUACUUAGCUAACAUUACUUGUCAUUACUCUUGUGGUUCUAUAGAUGUAUUUAAAUGGAAUAAAAUGUUUAUGGAAGUGGUCUCAUUUAAUGUGGUUUGUGCCUUCUUUUAAAUAAAUUCAGAAAAUUUUGAUAAGAAGUCCAGUAAUGCACAGUAAUGAGACAAAACUAUUCCUCUGUCUAAUCCAUGGAAAAAAUACUACAGCAAGUCUAAGUGGAAAACAAAGUUCUCCAUGUCUUCCAGUUUGUUUACUGUAAUUGUGGCCAAAAGUUUUGACAGUGACACAAACUUUGUUUUGGGGUUUUAUAUACUUUUUUUGUGUGUCAUUGAGGCAAACUGAAGAACAAUUAUGAUUCAGUUAUUAAGAUUCAAAGACUUUCAAUGGCAAAUAAAUCACAUUUUUGCCAACUAUAAGUUUGUGUCUCUAUCAAAACUUUGAUCCA
Molecule: long non-coding RNA, 1494 nt
Organism: Sphaeramia orbicularis (orbiculate cardinalfish)
Lineage: Eukaryota; Metazoa; Chordata; Actinopteri; Kurtiformes; Apogonidae
Exons: 2
Source: RefSeq, a predicted model, not a curated record